CAAAUCAUCAUCGUCCCCUUAUCGACCGUGGGCUACACACGUGCUACAAUGGUUGGUACAACGAGUUGCGAGUCGGUGACGGCGAGCUAAUCUCUUAAAGCCAAUCUCAGUUCGGAUUGUAGGCUGCAACUCGCCUACAUGAAGUCGGAAUCGCUAGUAAUCGCGGAUCAGCACGCCGCGGUGAAUACGUUCCCGGGCCUU
Molecule: ribosomal RNA, 201 nt
Filed under: uncultured Streptococcus sp.
Lineage: Bacteria; Bacillati; Bacillota; Bacilli; Lactobacillales; Streptococcaceae
Description: partial 16S ribosomal RNA
Rfam family: Bacterial small subunit ribosomal RNA
Source: RNAcentral